UACGUAGGGUGCAAGCGUUUAAUCGGAAUUACUGGGCGUAAAGCGUGCGCAGGCGGUUAUGUAAGACAGGUGUGAAAUCCCCGGGCUUAACCUGGGAACUGCAUUUGUGACUGCAUAGCUAGAGUACGGUAGAGGGGGGAUGGAAUUCCGCGUGUAGCAGUGAAAUGCGUAGAUAUGCGGAGGAACACCAGUGGCGAAGGCGACACGCUGGGCCGUACCUGACACUGAUGCGCGACAGCAUGGGGAGCAAACAGG
This 255-nucleotide ribosomal RNA is filed under the name uncultured bacterium. Its description in RNAcentral is "partial 16S ribosomal RNA". It matches the Rfam family "Bacterial small subunit ribosomal RNA", at positions 524 to 776 of the family's 1533-position model. The record is from RNAcentral.